This 68-nucleotide transfer RNA is filed under the name Analcellicampa danfengensis. Its description in RNAcentral is "tRNA-Leu". RNAcentral also lists the same sequence under 2 other names. The record is from RNAcentral. Lineage: Eukaryota; Metazoa; Arthropoda; Insecta; Hymenoptera; Tenthredinidae.
UCUAUUAUGGCAGAUUAAUGCAAUGGAUUUAAGACCCAUUAAUAAAGAUAUUUUAUCUUUUUUUAGAA